This is a long non-coding RNA of Nicotiana attenuata, 346 nucleotides long. RefSeq lists it as uncharacterized. NCBI's taxonomy places the organism in Eukaryota, Viridiplantae, Streptophyta, Magnoliopsida, Solanales, Solanaceae. The record is from RefSeq and is a predicted model, not a curated record. The transcript is spliced from 2 exons.
AGCAGAAAUAGAAACUAUAAGGUUGGAUUGAAAAGAAGAAUGUGUCCAGGAAUUGAUUGCAGUUGCAGACCUUUGGCCUUUUUAUUAGGCCUCCCUUUUGCUCUUAUUUCCCUGCUUAUUUCCAUAGUCGGCGUCCUCUUCUGGAUUAUCGGGUUGACGUGUCCAUGUUGCAUAUGUGUGACAGUGUUGGUUGAACUUGGACUGGCGUUGAUUAAGGCUCCUAUUCGUGUCAUGAAGUGGUUUGCUGAUAAGAUCCCUUUUUGACACUCUUUCCAUCACUUUGAGAAAGGGUUAAAUUUGUUGUUGUAUGUAUUAUUCGGAAUAGAAUAAUUUUUGCCCUCUUUUA